Molecule: ribosomal RNA, 434 nt
Filed under: Chromodoris magnifica
Lineage: Eukaryota; Metazoa; Mollusca; Gastropoda; Nudibranchia; Chromodorididae
Description: partial 16S ribosomal RNA
Rfam family: Bacterial large subunit ribosomal RNA
Source: RNAcentral
AGCCUUUGGAAAGGAUUAAAGGUUAUACCUGCCCAAUGUUAUAUUAAUGGCCGCGGUACUUUGACCGUGCUAAGGUAGCACAAUCAAUUGGCCCUUAAUUAGGGUCAGGUAUGAAUGGAGUUACGGGGCUUAGCUGUCUCUAGACUAUUUAAUUGAAGUUGCUAUAUAGGUGAAAAAGCCUGUAUUAAGAAAAAAGACGAGAAGACCCUUAGAGUUUUACUUAAAAAAGAGUUAUUUCUUCACUAGUUUUGUUGGGGCAACAUAGGAGAAGAACUAAACCUCCUAAAGGAUAUAAACCGAUGUUUUUAAAUAUGAAUAAACUACCUUAGGGAUAACAGCAUAAUUUUAAAAAUAAGUUUGUGACCUCGAUGUUGGACUAGGAAACUUAAGGGCUAGCCGCCUUUUGGUAAGGUUCUGUUCGAACUAUAAUUCCU